This 460-nucleotide ribosomal RNA is filed under the name uncultured bacterium. RNAcentral's name for it is "partial 16S ribosomal RNA". It matches the Rfam family "Bacterial small subunit ribosomal RNA", at positions 338 to 795 of the family's 1533-position model. The record is from RNAcentral.
CCUACGGGAGGCAGCAGUGAGGAAUCUUGGUCAAUGGACGAGAGUCUGAACCAGCCAAGUAGCGUGAAGGAUGACUGCCCUAUGGGUUGUAAACUUCUUUUAUAUGGGAAUAAAAUGUUCCACGUGUGGGAUUUUGUAUGUACCAUAUGAAUAAGGAUCGGCUAACUCCGCGCCAGCAGCCGCGGUAAUACGGAGGGUCCGAUCGUUAUCCGGAUUUAUUGGGUUUAAAGGGAGCGUAGGUGGAUUGUUAAGUCAGUUGUGAAAGUUUGCGGCUCAACCGUAAAAUUGCAGUUGAAACUGGCAGUCUUGAGUACAGUAGAGGUGGACGGAAUUCGUGGUGUAGCGGUGAAAUGCUUAGAUAUCACGAAGAACUCCGAUUGCGAAGGCAGUUCACUGGACUGCAACUGACACUGAGGCUCGAAAGUGUGGGUAUCAAACAGGAUUAGAUACCCUUGUAGUC